GUGGGGAAUAUUGGACAAUGGGCGAAAGCCUGAUCCAGCCAUGCCGCGUGUGUGAAGAAGGUCUUCGGAUUGUAAAGCACUUUAAGUUGGGAGGAAGGGCAGUAAGUUAAUACCUUGCUGUUUUGACGUUACCGACAGAAUAAGCACCGGCUAACUUCGUGCCAGCAGCCGCGGUAAUACGAAGGGUGCAAGCGUUAAUCGGAAUUACUGGGCGUAAAGCGCGCGUAGGUGGUUUUGUAAGUUGGAGGUGAAAUCCCCGGGCUCAACCUGGGAACUGCCUCCAAAACCGCAUGACUAGAGUACGGUAGAGGGUAGUGGAAUUUCCUGUGUAGCGGUGAAAUGCGUAGAUAUAGGAAGGAACACCAGUGGCGAAGGCGACUACCUGGACUGAUACUGACACUGAGGUGCGAAAGCGUGGGGAGCAAACAGGAUUAGAAACCCCAGUAGUCC
Molecule: ribosomal RNA, 450 nt
Filed under: uncultured bacterium
Lineage: Bacteria
Description: partial 16S ribosomal RNA
Rfam family: Bacterial small subunit ribosomal RNA
Source: RNAcentral